GACGAACGCUGGCGGCGUGCUUAACACAUGCAAGUCGAACGGAAAGGCCCUGCUUUUGUGGGGUGCUCGAGUGGCGGUCGGGUGAGUAACACGUGAGUAACCUGCCCUUGACUUUGGGAUAACUUCAGGAAACUGGGGCUAAUACCGGAUAGGAGCUCCUGCUGCAUGGUGGGGGUUGGAAAGUUUCGGCGGUUGGGGAUGGACUCGCGGCUUAUCAGCUUGUUGGUGGGGUAGUGGCUUACCAAGGCUUUGACGGGUAGCCGGCCUGAGAGGGUGACCGGCCACAUUGGGACUGAGAUACGGCCCAGACUCCUACGGGAGGCAGCAGUGGGGAAUAUUGCACAAUGGGCGGAAGCCUGAUGCAGCAACGCCGCGUGCGGGAUGACGGCCUUCGGGUUGUAAACCGCUUUCGCCUGUGACGAAGCGUGAGUGACGGUAAUGGGUAAAGAAGCACCGGCUAACUACGUG
Molecule: ribosomal RNA, 468 nt
Filed under: uncultured bacterium
Lineage: Bacteria
Description: partial 16S ribosomal RNA
Rfam family: Bacterial small subunit ribosomal RNA
Source: RNAcentral